CUCAGGGUCUGGGUCAUGGGACGCCAAAUCCUGCUCCUGCUGCUCUCUGGGGCCCUGGCCCUGACCCAGACCUGGGACGGACUCGCGUCUUCCCUGCCCCCAGGUCCCCACAGCCUGAGAUAUGUCAGCACUGCCACGUAUGGACCGGGCCGCGGGAAGAACCGGUACAUCAGCGUCAUCUACGUGGACGACUCGGAGAUCCUGCAGUUCGACAGUGGCGCAGCGAGGCCAAGGCUGGAGCCGCGGGUGCCCUGGAUGGAGCAGCCGUGGGUGGAGCAGGAGCAUCCAGAUUUUUGGAAGGACCAGACACAGGAAAUGAAGCACAAUGAACAGACUUCUCGAGCAAACCUGAACAAGCUUCUGGCCUACUACAACCAGAGCGAGGAAGUGUCUGGCACCCUCCAGGAAAUGACCGGCUGCGUCGUGGGGUCGGAUGGACACUUCCUCAGAGGGUUCACUCAGUUCGCCUUCGACGGCACCGACUUCAUUGCCUUGAAUGAGGACCUGCGCUCCUGGACCUCAGCCAACUCAGUGGUGGGUCUCAGCUGGCACCAGUUGGUGUGGGUCCCUGAUGAGGAUGUGAGGAGGGUCUUUCUGGAGGACACCUGUGUGCACCGGCUCCGCCUGCUCUUGGAGAAGGGGAAGGAGAAGCUGCUCCAAGCAGACCCUCCAAAGACACACAUGACCCACCACCCCAUCUCUGACUAUGAGGUCACCCUGAAGUGCUGGGCCCUGGGCUUCUACCCUGUGGACAUCACCCUGACCUGGCAGUGUGAUGGGGAAGACCUGACCGAGGACAUGGAGCUAGUGGACACCAGGCCUGCAGGGGAUGGAACCUUCCAGAAGUGGGCAGCUGUGGCCGUGCCCCCUGGAGAGGAGCAGAGAUACACAUGCCAUGUGCAGCACCAGGGGCUGCCCGAGCCCCUGACCCUGAGAUGGGACCCCCCUCCUCAGACCACCGUCACCAUCAUCGUGGGCAUUGCUGCUGCCCUGGGUCUCCUUGGAGCUGUGGUCACUGGAACUGUGCUGUGGAGGAGGAAGUGCUCAGGCAGAGGCAGGGAGAGCUACACUCAGGCUGCCUGCAGCAACAGUGCCCAGGGCAUUGAUGUGUCUCUCACAGCUCCUAAUGUGUGACAGAGCUGCCUUGUAGGGGACUUGGUGCUAAAGCAGUCAUUGCAGCUUCCCCUUGGAACUUUCAGGAUCCCUGACUGCUGUUUCUGCAAGUGGCAUUGGAAUGUGUCCAUGUUCUUAUCAGUGUCAGUGAGGGGCUGGUCACCAGGCCACCCUCCCCACAAGGACCUGUGUCUUCUCCCCCGGGGGACUGUCUUGUCCUAGCAGAGUCCCCAUCAUAGUGCUCACUUCCUGUUCCUUUGAGUUUUAAUGUCCCGUUUCUCAGUUGGAAAUCAGAAUCUGGGAGAACCUUGUUCCACCAAGACCUAGGAUCUCAGGACAUGGGUGUCACCGGGACCUUGUCGUGGCUCUAGGACUGUGCUCAGUGAGGACUUCCUGUGGCUGUGUCAGCCUGGGCUCAGGCCUGGGUCUGGCCAUCAGCCUCAUCUUUUGGGUGUUUGUUGUUUCUUUGUUUUUAUAGAUAUUGUACCUACCCUUGUUUUUUUAAAUUAAAUUAUUGGGGUGUUCUCAA
Molecule: RNA transcript, 1642 nt
Organism: Phyllostomus hastatus (greater spear-nosed bat)
Lineage: Eukaryota; Metazoa; Chordata; Mammalia; Chiroptera; Phyllostomidae
Gene name: patr class I histocompatibility antigen, A-2 alpha chain-like
Exons: 9
Source: RefSeq, a predicted model, not a curated record